AGCAGUCGCCGCGGUAAAACGGAGGGCGCGAGCGUUACCCGGAUUUACUGGGCGUAAAGGGCGUGUAGGCGGCCUGGGGCGUCCCAUGUGAAAGGCCACGGCUCAACCGUGGAGGAGCGUGGGAUACGCUCAGGCUAGAGGGUGGGAGAGGGUGGUGGAAUUCCCGGAGUAGCGGUGAAAUGCGCAGAUACCGGGAGGAACGCCGAUGGCGAAGGCAGCCACCUGGUCCACUUCUGACGCUGAGGCGCGAAAGCGUGGGGAGCAAACCGGAUUAGAGACCCGCGUAGUCCCUGUCUCUUAUAC
This 303-nucleotide ribosomal RNA is filed under the name uncultured bacterium. RNAcentral describes it as "partial 16S ribosomal RNA". It matches the Rfam family "Bacterial small subunit ribosomal RNA", at positions 507 to 807 of the family's 1533-position model. The record is from RNAcentral.